AUGCCUGGCUUCGGCCUGACCUGCAACGAGACCGGGGUUAAUGGUGGCCGCACGCCAUUUUAUUACGACCUGGAGGUCGUCGGCGUCUCGCUGCAGCAGGGUCAGGCCCGGAUGAAGAUGAGCAUCUCAACCUACUGCUACAACAACGCCACCCAGGGCAUGGACCCCGUCCCGUGGGGGCUCGACCUCACGGGCACGCCCUACAGGUUCGCCCACACCAACAAGUUCACCGUCAUCGGCUGCCAGACGCUGGCGUACAUCGUGGGCGAGCGCGCCGACGAGUACACCAGCGGCUGCGUGGCCAUGUGCCGGAGGGGAGGCGACGGCGACGUCAGGUCGGCCUCACCAACGGCUCCUGCUCCGGGAUAG
RNAcentral lists this ribosomal RNA (369 nucleotides) under Triticum aestivum (bread wheat). RNAcentral describes it as "partial small subunit ribosomal RNA". The record is from RNAcentral. Lineage: Eukaryota; Viridiplantae; Streptophyta; Magnoliopsida; Poales; Poaceae.